Molecule: ribosomal RNA, 250 nt
Filed under: uncultured bacterium
Lineage: Bacteria
Description: partial 16S ribosomal RNA
Rfam family: Bacterial small subunit ribosomal RNA
Source: RNAcentral
UACGUAGGGUGCAAGCGUUAAUCGGAAUUACUGGGCGUAAAGCGUGCGCAGGCGGCUUUGCAAGACAGAUGUGAAAUCCCCGGGCUUAACCUGGGAACUGCAUUUGUGACUGCAUGGCUGGAGUGCGGCAGAGGGGAUGGAAUUCCGGCGUGUAGCAGUGAAAUGCGUAGAUAUGCGGAGGAACACCGAUGGCGAAGGCAGUCCCCUGGGCCUGCACUGACGCUCAUGCACGAAAGCGUGGGGAGCAAAC